UACGGAGGGGGCCAGCGUUGUCCGAAGUUACUGGGCGUAAAGCGCGCGUAGGCGGGUUCUUAAGUCCGCUGUGAAAGCCCGGAGCUCAACUCCGGAGGGUCGGUGGAUACUGCCAGUCUUGAAGGUGCUAGGGGGAGAUGGAAUUACCGGUGUAGCGGUGAAAUGCGUAGAUAUCGGUAGGAACACCAGUGGCGAAGGCGGUCUCCUGGGGCAUUCUUGACGCUGAGGCGCGAAAGCUGGGGGAGCAAACGGG
This 253-nucleotide ribosomal RNA is filed under the name uncultured bacterium. RNAcentral describes it as "partial 16S ribosomal RNA". It matches the Rfam family "Bacterial small subunit ribosomal RNA", at positions 524 to 776 of the family's 1533-position model. The record is from RNAcentral.